GCACUGUGCAAUUGAGCUCCGCCCAACCCCGUCAGGAUCGGAAGGUAGCAGCGGUAAGCGGUAGCCAAUGUGAUGCAGUCUGCUUGG
Molecule: signal recognition particle RNA, 87 nt
Filed under: bovine gut metagenome
Also listed under: 1 other name
Description: Bacterial small signal recognition particle RNA
Rfam family: Bacterial small signal recognition particle RNA
About the family: The signal recognition particle (SRP) is a universally conserved ribonucleoprotein involved in the co-translational targeting of proteins to membranes. Archaeal SRP consists of a 7S RNA and homologues of the eukaryotic SRP19 and SRP54 proteins.
Source: RNAcentral